This is a long non-coding RNA of Canis lupus familiaris (dog), 726 nucleotides long. RefSeq lists it as uncharacterized. The record is from RefSeq and is a predicted model, not a curated record. The transcript has 3 exons. Lineage: Eukaryota; Metazoa; Chordata; Mammalia; Carnivora; Canidae.
GCACAUCCGGUCUGGCGGACAUGAAGGCUGUGGCUUUCUUUUCUCUUCCGGGAAGAGAAGCCUGGAAGCUGGCUUGAUGGAAUUACUGUGUUUUGUGUGUAGCAUCCGAUUCUAGGAGUGCCUGGCAAGAAGAAGCUGCUGACUGGAGUCCAGAACCAAGCUAAUCAACUCUCCUGAGUCAAAACAGUGUCUGAAUGAUGAGUCCCCAGGCAGAUUUCAGGAAUGUAGAACAUUUGGAACAGGAGAUCAGGACACAGAUGCUUGAAGAAGGAAGACCAUAUGAAAAUGAGACAAAGAUGGCAUCUACAAUCCAAGGAGAGAGGCCUCAGGAAAAACCAACCCUGAUGACGCCUUAAUCUUGGAUUUACAGCCUCCAGAACUGAGAGAAAAUAAAUUUCUGUUGUUUAAGCUCCCCAGAAAAGGAGGCACAGUGAAGUUAAGUAGCUUGCUCCAGAUCACACAUAGGUAGAUCUGGGGCCCAGACCCAGACUGGGCUCUAGCAUCCAUGUACUUGGCCACUGCUCUCAUCUGUGUCUAUAGGGUCUGAGCAUCAUGUCCUCCCAAGAUAAAAUCCUAACUUUGUUGCCAGACCAGAAACUACCUUUUCUCUUUCUUGAUACAUGUCUAAGAAAAAUGUUGACCUUCAGCAAUCCUUUUUAAAAAAAUUUUUUAUUAGAGUUCAAUUUGCCAACAUAUAGCAUAAUACCCAGUGCCCCCCUCAGUGCC